CAGUCGCCACGGUAAGACAGAGGAUGCAAGCGUUAUCCGGAAUGAUUGGGCGUAAAGGGCUCGCAGGCGGUUUCUUAAGUCUGAUGUGAAAGCCCCCGGCUCAACCGGGGAGGGUCAUUGGAAACUGGGAAACUUGAGUGCAGAAGAGGAGAGUGGAAUUCCACGUGUAGCGGUGAAAUGCGUAGAGAUGUGGAGGAACACCAGUGGCGAAGGCGACUCUCUGGUCUGUAACUGACGCUGAGGAGCGAAAGCGUGGGGAGCGAACAGGAUUAGAUACCCCCGUAGUCCCUGUCUCUUAUAC
Molecule: ribosomal RNA, 301 nt
Filed under: uncultured bacterium
Lineage: Bacteria
Description: partial 16S ribosomal RNA
Rfam family: Bacterial small subunit ribosomal RNA
Source: RNAcentral